GGACCUUUAGCUCAGUUGGUUAGAGCAGACGGCUCAUAACCGUCCGGUCGUAGGUUCGAUUCCUACAGGGUACA
This 74-nucleotide transfer RNA is filed under the name Bacteriophage sp. Its description in RNAcentral is "tRNA-Met". It matches the Rfam family "tRNA". From Rfam's summary of the family: Transfer RNA (tRNA) molecules are approximately 80 nucleotides in length. Their secondary structure includes four short double-helical elements and three loops (D, anti-codon, and T loops). The record is from RNAcentral.